GACGAACGCUGGCGGCGUGCUUAACACAUGCAAGUCGAACGGAAAGGCCCUGCUUGCAGGGUGCUCGAGUGGCGAACGGGUGAGUAACACGUGGGUGAUCUGCCCCUUACUUUGGGAUAAGCCUGGGAAACUGGGUCUAAUACUGGAUAGGACCAUGCUGUAGGUGGUGUGGUGGAAAGAUUAGUUUCGGUAAGGGAUGAGCUCGCGGCCUAUCAGCUUGUUGGUGGGGUAAUGGCCUACCAAGGCGUCGACGGGUAGCCGGCCUGAGAGGGUGGACGGCAACAUUGGGACUGAGAUACGGCCCAGACUCCUACGGGAGGCAGCAGUGGGGAAUAUUGCACAAUGGGCGCAAGCCUGAUGCAGCGACGCCGCGUGGGGGGUGACGGCCUUCGGGUUGUAAACUCCUUUCAGCCAUGACGAAGCCCUUGUGGUGACGGUAGUGGUAGAAGAAGCACCGGCUAACUACGUG
This 469-nucleotide ribosomal RNA is filed under the name uncultured bacterium. Its description in RNAcentral is "partial 16S ribosomal RNA". It matches the Rfam family "Bacterial small subunit ribosomal RNA", at positions 28 to 507 of the family's 1533-position model. The record is from RNAcentral.